This 429-nucleotide ribosomal RNA is filed under the name uncultured bacterium. RNAcentral's name for it is "bacterial SSU rRNA". It matches the Rfam family "Bacterial small subunit ribosomal RNA", at positions 355 to 776 of the family's 1533-position model. The record is from RNAcentral.
UGAGGAAUAUUGCGCAAUGAGCGAAAGCUUGACGCAGCGACGCCGCGUGGAGGAUGAAGGUUUUCGGAUUGUAAACUCCUGUUAAGUGGGAAGAAAGUCGCGUUUCUAAUAAAGACGUGAAAUGACGGUACCGCUAAAGAAAGCACCGGCUAACUUCGUGCCAGCAGCCGCGGUAAUACGAGGGGUGCUAGCGUUAUUCGGAAUCAUUGGGCGUAAAGGGUAUGUAGGCGGUUUAUUAAGUCUGCUGUUAAAUUUCUCAGCCUAACUGGGAGUCGGCGGUAGAAACUGGUUUACUAGAGUGUGGGAGAGAGAGGUGGAAUUCUCGGAGUAGCGGUAAAAUGCGUAGAUCUCGAGAGGAACACCGAUGGCGAAGGCAGCCUCUUGGCCCACUACUGACGCUGAGAUACGAAAGCGUGGGGAGCAAACAGG